AUUGAACGCUGGCGGCAUGCUUUACACAUGCAAGUCGAACGGUAACAGGCCUUCGGGUGCUGACGAGUGGCGAACGGGUGAGUAAUGCAUCGGAACGUACCCAGAGGUGGGGGAUAACGCAGCGAAAGCUGUGCUAAUACCGCAUGUGAUCUGAGGAUGAAAGCAGGGGACCGAGCAGCAAUGUUUGGCCUCGCGCCUUUGGAGCGGCCGAUGUCGGAUUAGCUAGUUGGUGGGGUAAAGGCCUACCAAGGCGACGAUCCGUAGCUGGUCUGAGAGGACGACCAGCCACACUGGGACUGAGACACGGCCCAGACUCCUACGGGAGGCAGCAGUGGGGAAUUUUGGACAAUGGGCGCAAGCCUGAUCCAGCAAUGCCGCGUGCGGGAAGAAGGCCUUCGGGUUGUAAACCGCUUUUGGCAGGAACGAAACGGUGUCCGCUAAUACCGGGCGCUAAUGACGGUACCUGCAGAAUAAGCACCGGCUAACUACGUG
Molecule: ribosomal RNA, 492 nt
Filed under: uncultured bacterium
Lineage: Bacteria
Description: partial 16S ribosomal RNA
Rfam family: Bacterial small subunit ribosomal RNA
Source: RNAcentral